CAGUCGCCUGUUUAUCAAAAACAUUGCGUCUAGUAAAAUAUUAGAGGUAUGUCCUGCCCGGUGAAGUUUUAACGGCUGCAGUAUCCUGACUGUACUAAGGUAGCGUAAUCCUUUGCCUUCUAAUUAAAGGCUAGUAUGAAUGGAUUAACAGUGUUUCUCUUUAUUUUUUUUAUAGGUGGAAAUUUAUAUUCAAGUGCAAAAGCUUGAAUUCUUUAGAAAGACAAGAAGACCCUAUAGAGCUUUACUGCGUAGGCUUUAAUUUGGUUGGGGCAAUUGAAAAUUUGAAGCAUCUUUUUAUAUUGAGGCUAUUAGCCUAUUAAAUGAUCCAUACGACCAAGAGAUAAGCUACCUUAGGGUUAACAGGCUAAUCCCUCUUGAGAGACCGCAUUAACGGAGGGGGUUGGCACCUCGAUGUUGGCUUAGGAUCGCCUGCUGGUGCAGCAGCUAGUUAGGUGGGUUUGUUCACCCCUUAAAUUCCUACGUGAUCUGAGUCAGACCGGGU
RNAcentral lists this ribosomal RNA (502 nucleotides) under Laonome kroyeri. RNAcentral's name for it is "partial large subunit ribosomal RNA". It matches the Rfam family "Bacterial large subunit ribosomal RNA", at positions 1792 to 2621 of the family's 2925-position model. The record is from RNAcentral. Lineage: Eukaryota; Metazoa; Annelida; Polychaeta; Sabellida; Sabellidae.